Molecule: microRNA precursor, 118 nt
Filed under: Picea abies (Norway spruce)
Lineage: Eukaryota; Viridiplantae; Streptophyta; Pinopsida; Pinales; Pinaceae
Description: miR11485 stem-loop (pab-MIR11485)
Source: miRBase by way of RNAcentral
AGUAAGAAGGCAGCUGCUAGAAUGCAAAAAGUCUGCUACUCCGACUUCUUCUUCGUCAGCAUAUUCCUCCUGUUGCUGUAACAGGCCUUUUGCAUUCCUAGCUGCUGCCUUCUAUGCU